This is a non-coding RNA of Acanthosepion pharaonis, 110 nucleotides long. Lineage: Eukaryota; Metazoa; Mollusca; Cephalopoda; Sepiida; Sepiidae. The record is from the annotation of a GenBank genome assembly.
AGCCAUAUCUCAUUGAAACACCAGUUCUCAUCUGAUCACCAAAGUUAAACAAUGUCAAGUCUGGUCAGUGCUUAGAUGGGUGACUGCUUGGGAAUACCAGGUUCUGUAGG